UUUUUGUUUUUUGUUUUUUGUUUUUGAGAUAGAGUCUCACUCUGUUCUCCAGGCUGGAGUGCAGUGGUGUGAUCUCGGCUCACUGCAACCUCCGCCUCCUUGGUUCCAGAGAUUCUCCUGCCUCAGCCUCCUGAGUAGUUGGGAUUACAGGUGCCCACCACCAAGCCCAGCUAAUUUUUGUAUUUUUAGUAGAGACAGGGUUUCACCAUGUUGGCCAAGUUGGUCUCGAACUCCUGACCUCAAGUGAUCCGCCCGUCUUGGCCUCCCAAAGUGCUGGAAUUACAGGCGUGAGUCACCACGCCCAGCCUGAUAUACAAAUGUUUUAAACUUUGAUAAUGUUCCACUUUAUCUAUUUGUUCUUCUGUUGCCUGUGCUUUUGGCGCCAUAACCAAGAAAUCAUUGCCAAAUGCAACGUCAUGAAGCUUUUCCCCUGUGUUUUCUUCUAAGAGUUUUGUGGUUUUAGCUCUUGAGUUCAGGUCUUUGAUGCAGGUUGAGUUGAUUUUUGCAUGCGGUGUAAGGGCUGGUGCAGCCUCAUGCUCUGGGCUCUUGAUUUGCUUCUCUUCUUUUCUCACGCCCAGCUGGUUCUGCUGGGUGGCGGGGAGGAGUGGGGAAGUCCCGGGCUGGGCCUGCCCUAUCAUCCCCUCUCAGGCCAGCCAGGGAGUCUCAGCUCCUGCCCAGGACCUGGCUGGACAUGCGCCCUACCGGAAAAGCCUGGGCCGCCUUUCUAGGCUGAUGGCAGGGCCAGCCCAGGGCGUCCUGAGGCCUGCCCUGCAGACAUGCCCCUCAUCCUCGGUGGUGUAGCUGCCUGGCCUGCGUGUGAGACCAGCUGUCUGCUUCAGGGCACGGAGGCUGAGUGUUUCCAGCCUGUCCCCUUGCUCGGCUCUCCCUCUGGGGAUGCCCCUGCAGCUCAUUCUCUGCCUCCGCUUCUGCCAUCUGUGCCUUUGUCUGCUUCCUGUUUGAGGUGGUCAUCCCUGCUGCCGCCCCUCAUGAUCUGGACAGGAGUCUCCGUCCUGAAGCCACCACCCGAACCCCUGUGCCUCAGACCCCUCCUACCCACCACAUGGGUUCCACUGUGACCAACUCAGCAGCUGAUGGAGCUUCCCUUGGGGCUCUCCUAGCAACGGGGAGCUGGCCUGAGGCCUGGCCUCAGUCCCUAAGUGGAAGUGGGCUGUGAGGGUGUCAGCCUUUUUCUGCUGCCUGGUGCUCUAGGGGUUGGCUUGUCACUCCUGGAAGCACUUGCCAUCCUUACACAGCACCCCACACCCUCCUCCCUGCCUCCUACCCCUUCUUCCAAGGGGUCAUCUCUGCUUCC
RNAcentral lists this long non-coding RNA (1312 nucleotides) under Macaca fascicularis (crab-eating macaque). RNAcentral describes it as "lncRNA (ENSMFAG00000049568.1)". The record is from RNAcentral. Lineage: Eukaryota; Metazoa; Chordata; Mammalia; Primates; Cercopithecidae.